CUCCGGUCACGUGGGAAGAAACCCGGAAGUAUCGCCGUGAAUCACAGUAGAGUUGCAAAUGCGAUGUUGUGUAUUAGGCUGUACAUCAUAUUAACGUAAAGAGAGUGAUAAUAUAUAUCCUUUCAUCUAUUCCCGAGUGACUCAAAGGGAUAUUGGACCUUAUUUUCAGAUUACAGACAACACGAGAGGGUGCUCCAAACUUUUUAAUCAGGACUGCAUUGUUUGUUCGCUCCCGGGGUUACAUAGACUGAAAAGGGGAAGCGUGACGAGUUUGUUUACAUGGUGCUGUAAACUCCAACUACAGGAGGACACUUCAGAGGAAUCACAGGGAUAACAUGGUGUGAUUUUUUUUGUCAAAACCAGAACUGACUUCCGAAUCCACCUGGAACGCAUUUACUUUGAUGGAGACAAAUGGAAGUCAGUAAAAAUUAAGUUGGACUUGUUUUUUUUAACUAAUGGCUGCCCAACAGCUUAUAAAGCCAGGAACAACACACACACACACACACACACACACACACACACACACACACACACACACACACACACACACACACACACACACACACACACACAC
Molecule: long non-coding RNA, 574 nt
Organism: Paramisgurnus dabryanus
Lineage: Eukaryota; Metazoa; Chordata; Actinopteri; Cypriniformes; Cobitidae
Source: RefSeq, a predicted model, not a curated record